AAAAUCCAUGAGUAACGCAGCUAACGCGUGAAGUAGACCGCCUGGGGAGUACGGUCGCAAGAUUAAAACUCAAAUGAAUUGACGGGGGCCCGCACAAGCGGUGGAUUAUGUGGAUUAAUUCGAUGCAACGCGAAAAACCUUACCUGGCCUUGACAUGUAACGAACUUUCCAGAGAUGGAUUGGUGCUCGAAAGAGAACGUUAACACAGGUGCUGCAUGGCUGUCGUCAGCUCGUGUCGUGAGAUGUUGGGUUAAGUCCCGCAACGAGCGCAACCCUUGCCAUUAAUUGCCAUCAUUUAGUUGGGCACUUUAAUGGGACUGCCGGUGACAAACCGGAGGAAGGUGGGGAUGACGUCAAGUCCUCAUGGCCCUUAUGGCCAGGGCUUCACACGUAAUACAAUGGUCGGUACAGAGGGUUGCCAACCCGCAAGGGGGAGCCAAUCCCAGAAAGCCGAUCGUAGUCCGGAUUGAGGUCUGCAACUCGACCUCAUGAAGUCGGAAUCGCUAGUAAUCGCGGAUCAGCAUGUCGCGGUGAAUACGUUCCCGGGCCUUGUACACACCGCCCGUCACACCAUGGGAGUGGGUUUUACCAGAAGUGGGUAGUCUAACCGUAAGGAGGACGCUUACCACGGUAGUAUUCAUGACUGGGGUGAAGUCGUAAC
This 661-nucleotide ribosomal RNA is filed under the name uncultured bacterium. Its description in RNAcentral is "bacterial SSU rRNA". It matches the Rfam family "Bacterial small subunit ribosomal RNA", at positions 832 to 1492 of the family's 1533-position model. The record is from RNAcentral.